This 206-nucleotide ribosomal RNA is filed under the name uncultured bacterium. RNAcentral describes it as "partial 16S ribosomal RNA". It matches the Rfam family "Bacterial small subunit ribosomal RNA", at positions 568 to 774 of the family's 1533-position model. The record is from RNAcentral.
CGCGUAGGCGGACAUUUAAGUCGGGGUGAAAGCCCGGGGCUCAACCCCGGAAUUGCCUCCGAUACUGGGUGUCUCGAGACCGGAAGAGGUGAGUGGAACUGCGAGUGUAGAGGUGAAAUUCGUAGAUAUUCGCAAGAACACCAGUGGCGAAGGCGGCUCACUGGUCCGGAUCUGACGCUGAGGCGCGAAAGCGUGGGGAGCAAACA